GCCAGGUGUGAUGGCAUAUACCUGUAGUCCCAGCUACAUGGGAGGCUGAGGUGGGAGGAUCACUUGAGCCCAGGAAUUCGAGGCUGCAGUGAGCUAUGGUUGUGCCACCGCACUCUGGCCUGGGCGACAGAGCAAGAUCCUACCUCUA
Unclassified non-coding RNA from Callithrix jacchus (white-tufted-ear marmoset), 148 nucleotides. It matches the Rfam family "Metazoan signal recognition particle RNA". From Rfam's summary of the family: The signal recognition particle (SRP) is a universally conserved ribonucleoprotein. It is involved in the co-translational targeting of proteins to membranes. Lineage: Eukaryota; Metazoa; Chordata; Mammalia; Primates; Cebidae. The record is from Ensembl.